AUGCCCCCUUUUGGACUUAGAAAAUUUUGGUUAAAGUUUUGCGUGCAAGUACAUACAGCUAUUACCAAAAGGCAUAUAGAUUUGAAACUUAUUUUUUUCUUUUUCUAGAUCAAUUACCUACAUCACUAGGUCAAGUCCAAUAACUCUGACAUGUAUUUGGCCAAAUUAGCCCCCUUUUGGACUUAGAAAAUUCUGGUUAAAGUUUUGCGUGCAAGUACAUACAGCUAUUACUAAAAGGCAUAUGGAUUUUAAACUUAUUUUUUCUUUUUCUAGAUCAAUUACCUACCUCACUGGGUCAAGUCCCAUAACUCUGACAUGUAUUUUGGGCAAAUUAUGCCCCCUUUUGGACUUGAAAAUUCUGGUUAAAGUUUUACAUGCAAGUUACUAUCUCCAAAACUAAUGCAGAUAUUGAAUUGAAACUUCACAUGUGUCUUCGGGGUUAUAAAACUAGUUGACAGAAUCAAGUCCCAUAACUCUGACAUGUAUUUUGGGCAAAUUAUGCCCCUUUUUGGACUUAGAAAAUUCUGGUUAAAGUUUUACAUGCAAGGUACUAUCUCCAAAACUAAUGCAGAUAUGGAAUUGAAACUUAAUAUGUUUCUUCGGGGUUAUAAAACUAGUUGAUAGCAUCAAGUCCCAUAACUCUGAUAUGCAUUUUGGUCAAAUUAUGUCCCCUUUCAGACUUAAAACUCUUUUGAUAUUUAACAUUUCGGGUAAUAAUUUCCUGCUUCUGUGACAAUAUUUCGAAUAGUCGAGCUUGGCUGUCUUACGGACAGCUCUUGUUAGCUCACCUGUCACAAAGUGACAAGGUGAGCUUUUGUGAUCGUGCGUCGUCCGUCGUGUGUCCGUCCGUCUGUGCGUGCGUCCGUAAACUUUUGCUUAUGACCACUCUAGAGGUCACAUUUUUCAUGGGAUCUUUAUGAAAGUUGGUCAGAAUGUUCACCUUGAUGAUAUCUAGGCCAAGUUCGAAACUGGGUCACGUGCCGUCAAAAACUAGGUCAGUAGGUCUAAAAAUAGAAAAACCUUGUGACCUCUCUACAGGCCAUAAUUUUAAAUGGAUCUUCAUGAAAAUUGGUCAGAAUGUUCACCUUGAUGAUAUCUAGGUCAAGUUCAAAACUGGGUCACGUGCCUUCAAAAACUAGGUCAGUAGGUCUAAAAAUAGUAAAAGCUUGUGACCUCUCUAGAGGCCAUAUAUUUCACAAGAUCUUCAUGAAAAUUGGUCAGAACGUUCACCUUGAUGAUAUCUAGGCCAAGUUCGAAACUGGGUCACUUGCCUUCAAAAACUAGGUCAGUAGGUCAAAUAAUAGAAAAACCUUGUGACCUCUCUAAAGGCCAUAUUUUUCAUGGGAUCUGUAUGAAAGUUGGUCUGAAUGUUCAUCUUGAUGAUAUCUAGGUCAUCUUCGAAACUGGGUCACGUGUGGUCAAAAACUAGGUCAGUAGGUCUAAAAAUAGAAAAACCUUGUGACCUUUCUAGAGGCCAUAUAUUUCAAAGAUCUUCAUGAAAAUUGGUCAGAACGUUCACCUUGAUGAUAUCUAGGUCAAGUUCGAAACUGGGUCACGUGCCCUCAAAAACUAGGUCAGUAGGUCAAAUAAUAGAAAAACCUUGUGACCUCUCUAAAGGCCAUAUUUUUCAUGGGAUCUGUAUGAAAGUUGGUCUGAAUGUUCAUCUUGAUGAUAUCUAGGUCAAGUUCGAAACUGGGUCACGUGCUUCAAAAACUAGGUCAGUAGCUCUAAAAAUAGAAAAACCUUGUGACCUCUCUAGAGGCCAUAUAUUUCAUGAAAUCUUCAAGAAAAUUGGUCAGAAUGUUCACCUUAAUGAUAUCUAAGUCAAGUUCGAAAGUGGGUCACGUGCCUUCAAAAACUUGGUCAGUAGGUAAAAUAAUAGAAAAACCUUGUGACCUCUCUAGAAGCCAUAUUUUCCAUGGGGUCUGUAUGAAAGUUGGUCUGAAUGUUCAUCUUGAUGAUAUCUAGGUCAAGUUCGAAAGUGGGUCACAUGCGGUCAAAAACUAGGUCAGUAGGUCAAAUAAUAGAAAAACCUUGUGACCUCUCUAAAGGCCAUAUUUUUCAAUGGAUCUUCAUGAAAGUUGGUCUGAAUGUUCAUCUUGAUGAUAUCUAGGUCAAGUUCGAAACAGGGUCGUGUGCGGUCAAAAACUAGGUCAGUAGGUCUAAAAAUAGGAAAACCUUGUGACCUCUCUAGAGGCCAUACUUGUGAAUGGAUCUCCAUAAAAAUUGGUCAGAAUGUUCAUCUUGAUGAUAUCUAGGUCAAGUUCGAAAGUGGGUCACGUGCCUUCCAAAAAUAGGUCAGUAGGUCAAAUAAUGAAAAAACGUGACCUCUCUAGAGGCUAUAUUUUUCAUGGGAUCUGUAUGAAAGUUGGUCUGAAUGUUUAUCUUGAUGAUAUCUAGGUCAAGUUUGAAACUGGGUCAACUGCGAUCAAAAACUAGGUCAGUAGGUCUUGAAAUAGAAAAACCUUGUGACCUCUCUAGAGGCCAUACCCUUGAAUGGAUCUUCAUGAAAAUUGGUCAGAAUGUUCACCUUGAUGAUAUCUAGGUCAAGUUUGAAACUGGGUCACGUGCCUUAAAAAUCUAGGUCAAUAGGUCAAAUAAUAGAAAAACGUUAUGACCUCUCUAGAGACCAAUUUUUUUCAAUGGAUCUUCAUGAAAAUUGGUCAGAAUUUUUAUCUUGAUAAUAUCUAGGUCAAGUUCAAAACUGGGUCACACGAGCUCAAAAACUAGAUCACUAUGUCAAAUAAUAGAAAAAACGACGUCAUACUCAAAACUGGAUCAUGUGGGAAGAGGUGAGCGAUUCAGGACCAUCAUGGUCCUCUUGUUUAUAAUCAUAUUCUUUAUGUAAAAAAAAUAGUCAGGUAACUGAUGAUGCCAUUUGUCUGUAAAUGCUUUCAUUCUUCCAACUCAGGAAUAGUGUACGAGUUUUAAAUAUCAGUAUAAUUAAGGUAGAAAUUUGUUUUUGUUUUUUGCUCAUCACCCUUUAAUUUCCUGUCAAAGGAUAACAUAUGUGAAGCUUAAGUGUAAGGAAUUAAUGUGAGUGAAUUAUUCUAGAUUUAUGUCUAUGGUGAUCAUGCAUUUGUCUAUUAUCUGUAAUAUUUCUGAGAAAAUAUUUGUUUGUGUACUGUAUAGAAAUUUGAAUGAAAACAUACAAAAAUGUCAAUGUUAAUGGCAGUUUUUUUUUAUCCUCCGCCGAUGAAAUCGGGAGGGGGGGUAUUGAAAUGGCGUUGUCCAUCAGUGCGUCCGUCCGCAGCCAUAUCUCAGUAACUAGCUGGUAGAAUUUCAUGAAACUUGAAAUAAACAUGAAACAACAUACUGCAAUGAUGCUCGUCAAGUUUUUUUUUUUUGAUUGGUCAAUUUUCCUUAGAGUUAUUGCCCUUGAUUUAAUGAAAAAUGCCCGUCCGCAGCCAUUUCUCAGUAACUGUCAUGUAGAAUUUCAUAAAACUUGAAAUAAACAUGCACCAACAUACUGCGAUGAUGCCCGUCAAGUUUUUUUUUGAUUGGUCAAUUUCCCUCAGAGUUAUUGCCCUUGAUUUAAUGAAAAAUCCACGUCUGCAGCAAUUUCUCAGUAACAAGCUGGUAGAAUUUCAUGAAACUUGAAAUAAAUAUGAACCAAUAUACUUCGAUGAUGCCUGUCAUUUUUUUUUUAAUUGGUCAAUUUUCUUAGAGUUAUUGCCCUUUAAUUGUUUAAAAAUCUACAGAUUUGUACAUAACAAACCAACCAAUUGGUAGAAUUUCAUUAAACUUCUUUCAUUCUUUUCCAUGAACAUUUAUUAUAAACAUGUGAAGCUGUGUACCCACACCUGGUCACCACCUUGCCUUGGUCACCCCCCCCCCCCCCCCCCCCCCCCCCCCCCCACAAAAAAAAGAAAAAAGAUAAUUUUUCUUUCAAACCUUCCAUGAAUAUUUAUCAACAUGCAAAGUUGUAACAUUCCCCCACCUCACUCCUCCACCCAGUCAUGCCCACCACCCCAAAAAAAAUAAUUUUUGUCAUUUUUAAUUUUCCAUCAAUAUUUAUAAUCAACAUAUGAUGUUUUGUACCCUCACCCAGCCAGCCCCGCUGCCCCUCACCCCUCCCCCACCAAAAAAUAGCAUUCAUUUUUUGUUAAAUUGAUUUUGACUAAUGAAAUUAUUUGCCUCUUAGUAACAUCCUUAACUUUUUGCUGGACAUACUGUUUUGCUGUUCCUCACCACAAACCCUUUCAGCGGGGGAUACCAAUUCAUCGAAUUUGUUCUUCCUGGUAUAGUACCUGUGUUGAAUUAGGGUUUUGACCAUAUACUAUGUAUUGGUGCAUUCGAAACGACUGAUAAUUGUUAUAGGUACAUUUAUAGAAUAGUAUUCCAGAAAAUGGGUCCAUGUAUGAUAAAAGUAUUGAUGGCUGUAUUGGUAAAGUAUGCACAGUUUGGACAUCUCCAAAGUUUGUAGGUAUAUCACCUUUAUUUGAUCUGUGCGGGAAAAGUUAUUUGAAUCACAUAACAUGUGUACAGUUGUAUUAUAUGUACACAUUUCUUGCUUUGUCUACUGUAUUUUGCAUAUCACCAGUUGUACAGUGGAACCUCCCUAAUCCGAACCCCUCUAAUCUGAACUUUUUUCUGGUCUGGGCAUGUUCAGAUUAGAGGUACCACUGUAUUGUAUGUACACAUUUCUUACUUUGUCUACUGUGUUUUGCAUAUCACCAGUUGUACAGUGGAACCUCCCUAAUCCGACCCCCUCUAAUCUGAACUUUUUUUCUGGUCUGGGCAUGUUCAGAUUAGAGGUACCACUAUAUUGUAUGUACACAUUACUUGCUUUGUCUACUGUAUUUUGCAUAUCAUUUUUCAGGUCUGUUUUAACAGCAUUAUUAAUUUUGUGAUACGAAAUAGUAUGAUCCUACUUAAACUGUUCAUAAUACAUGCAUGAAAAGGAAUCUUUUUUAGCUCACCUGUCACAAAGUGACAAGGUGAGCUAUUGUGACCGCUUGAUGUCCGUUAUCCGUCGUCCGUCGUCUGUGGUGCGUCAACAAAUUGUAAAAAAAUCUUCUUCUUGAAAACCACUGAGCAGAAUUACACCAAACUUCACAGGAAUGAUCCUUGGGUGGCCCCCUUUCAAAAUUGUUCAAAGAAUUGAAUUCCAUGGAGAACUCUGGUUGCCAUGGCAACCGAAAGGAAAACCUUUAAAAAUCUUCUUCUCAAAAACCAGAAGCCCUAGAGCUUAGAUAUAUGGUGUGAAGCAUUGCCUAGUGGACCAAAUUUGUUCAAAUCAUGACCCCGGGGUCAAAAUUGACCCCGCCCCAGGGGUCACUUGAUUUUACAUAGGAAAAUCUUUUAAAAUCUUCUUCUCAAAAAGCAUAAGCCCUAGAGCUUAGAUAUUUGACAUGUAGCAUUGCCUAGUGGACCUCUACUAAAGUUGUUCAAAUCAUGACCCUGGGAUCAAAAUUGACCCCGCCCCAGGGGUCAAUUGAUUUUACAUGUGAAAAUCUUCAAAAAAAAAUCUAAAAAUAAACCAGAAGGCCUAGAGCUUAGAUAUUUCACAUGUAGCAUUGCCUAAUGGACCUCUACUAAAGUUGUUCAAAUCAUGACCCCGGGGUCAAAACUGACCCUGCCCUAGGGGUCACUUGAUUUUAAAUAUGAAAAUCUUCAAAAAAAUUCUAAAAAUAAACCAGAAGGCCUAGAGCUUAGAUAUUUCACAUGUAGCAUUGCCUAGUGGACCUCUACAACAUUUGUUCAAAUCUUGACCCCCAGGGUCAAAAUUGACCCCACCCCAGGGGUCACUUGAUUUUACAUAUGAAAAUCUUCAAAAUUUUUCUAAAAAUAAACCAGACGGCCUAGAUCUUAGAUAUUUGACAUGUAGCAUUGCCUAGUAGACUUCUACAAAAUUUGUUCAAAUCAUGACCCCCGGGGUCAAAUUGGCUCCGCCCCAUGGGGUUAUUUGAUUGUACAUAGAAAAAUCUUCAAAAUUUUCUAAAAAAAAAAAAAAACCAGAAGGCCUAGAGCUUAGAUAUUUGACAUGUAGCAUUGCCUAGUGGACCUCUACAAAAUUUGUUCAAAUCUUGACCCCACAGGGUCAAAUUGACCCCGUCCCAGGGUUACUUGAUUGUGCAUAAGGAAAUCUUCAUAAAUUUACUAAAAAUAAACCAGAAGGCCUAGAUCUUAAAGUUUUAGCUAAGAAAUUUGUUCAAGCAAGCAACUCUACUCAGGUGAGCGAUAUAGGGCCUUCAUGGCCCUCUUGUUUUUAUAAAAAGGACCAUUCUGUAAGAUGUGAAAUACCAGAGACAAGAUACUUAAAACAAUUAUGAAAAAGUCGUGUAGAAUCGUUUGAAACUUGUCUAUUACUAGCCUGGGUUCAUAUCAUGUUACUUGGAUUCCUGUCAGGUUGCCUAGAUUCCCGUUAUAUUACCUGGGUUCCUGUCUGGUUGCCUGGGUUCCUUGUCAGGCUGCCUGGUUUCCUGUCAGGUUACUUGGAUUCCUGUCUGGUUACCUGGAUUCCUGUCAGGUUAACCGGGUUCCUGUCAGGUUGCCUAAGUUCCUGUCAGGUUGCCUAACUUUCUAUAAGUCUGUCUGGGUUCCUGUAAGGUUGCUUGAGUUCCUGCCGGGCUGCUUGGGUUCAUGUCAGGUUGCCUAGGUUCCUGUAAGGUAGCCUGAGUUCCUUUCAGGUUGCCUGGUUUCUUGUACGGUUGUCUAGGUUCCUGUCAGGUUGCCUGGGUUCCUGUCAGGUUGCUUAGAUUCCUGUCAGGUUGCCUGGUUUAUUGUAUGAUUGUCUAAGGUCCUGUUAGGUUGUCUUAAGUUCCUGUCAGGUUGCUUAGAUUCCUGUCAGGUUGCCUGGAUUCCUGUUAGGUUGUCUUAAGUUCCUGUCAGGUUGCCUGGGUUCCUGUCAGGUUGCCUUAGUUACUGUCAGGUUGCCUAGUUUCUUGUCAUGUUGUCUGGUUUCCUAUCAGGCUGCCUGGGUUCCUGUAAGGUUGUCUGGUUUCUUGUCAGGUUGCUAAGUUCCUGUAAAGUUGCUUGGGUUCCUGUCCAGUUGCCUAAGUUUCUGUCAAGUUGCCUUGUUUCUUGUCAGGUUGCCUUAGUUCCUGUCAGGUUGCCUGGGUUCCUGUCAGGUUGUCUGUAUUCCUGUAAGGUUGCCUAUGUUCCUUUAAGGUUGUCUGGUUUUCUGUUAGGUUGCCAGAGUUCUUGUCAGGUUAUCUGGUUUCCCUUGAGGUUGCCUGGUUUCCUGUCAGGUAGUCAGGAGGGUUUUGUCUACAUUUGCAAAAUUCAAUAGGAGAGGUUGUUGCCCAGAAUGUUUUGUCUAUACUAUCACUUGUAUAAACACUUCAUAUGUUAUAUACAAAGGAUUAAGUAUCAACAACUGUUUCCCAGGCAACCUUAACCAGCAACCUUUACAAAGCAUAAAUACAUGUUUCAAGUGUAACACUCCAAGAUUCAAACACCCAUUGGUAUUUCUGUUGUUAUGUUUUGAAUUUCUUCCCUAGUGUGAAGGAGUUUCGUAAUCAGAAAAUCUUUGGAACUAGUUAAAAUGUAAAACAGUUGUUCCUUUUAUAUAACAAAUUGAUGAUAAAUGAUGCAUUUAAUUUGAAAAACGUGAUUUUACACAGUAAAGGGUUUGUAAACUUGUAACAUGUAUGUGAUUCAGCAUUAUUUCAAUUAUUGUGAUGCAGUUUUGUAUAUUUUGUAUGUUUAUGUAACAGUUACUUUUUAAUAAAAUCAUAUAUUAUUGAA
Molecule: long non-coding RNA, 7692 nt
Organism: Mercenaria mercenaria
Lineage: Eukaryota; Metazoa; Mollusca; Bivalvia; Venerida; Veneridae
Exons: 2
Source: RefSeq, a predicted model, not a curated record